CCUACGGGAGGCAGCAGUGGGGAAUAUUGCGCAAUGGGCGAAAGCCUGACGCAGCGACGCCGCGUGAGGGAUGAAGGUCUUCGGAUCGUAAACCUCUGUCAGCAGGGAAGUACGGUCACUGUGCUAAUCAGCAGUGAAUUGACGGUACCUGCAAAGGAAGCACCGGCUAACUCCGUGCCAGCAGCCGCGGUAAUACGGAGGGUGCGAGCGUUAAUCGGAAUUACUGGGCGUAAAGCGCUCGUAGGCGGUAUGUCAAGUCAAGGGUGAAAUCCCCGCGCUCAACGUGGGAACUGCCUGUAAAACUGGCAGACUGGAGUGUGUGAGAGGAUAGUGGAAGUCCAGGUGUAGGAGUGAAAUCCGUAGAUAUCUGGAGGAACAUCAGUGGCGAAGGCGACUAUCUGGCACAUAACUGACGCUGAGGAGCGAAAGCGUGGGUAGCAAACAGGAUUAGAUACCCCUGUAGUC
This 465-nucleotide ribosomal RNA is filed under the name uncultured bacterium. RNAcentral describes it as "partial 16S ribosomal RNA". It matches the Rfam family "Bacterial small subunit ribosomal RNA", at positions 338 to 795 of the family's 1533-position model. The record is from RNAcentral.